GCCCGCGGUCCCCCCGCCCCGGGGCGGUGCCGCAGCCCCGGACCCGCCCCCGGUUCCCCCCCCCGGGCCGGGAUGGCGGAGGCGGCGCAGGGCCGGGUGCAGGCGGCGGUGGAGAGCGCGGUGCAGGGGCUGGAGCGGGAGCGCAUCCGCGCCAUGCAGGGCGCCAUGUUCCGCUGCAGCGCGCGGUGCUGCGAGGACGACACGGCCACCAUGCAGCAGGUGCAGCGCUGCAUCGAGCGCUGCCACGCGCCCCUGGCGCAAGCACAGGCCAUCGUCACCGCCGAGCUGGAGCACUUCCAGGACCGGCUGAGCCGCUGCACGCUGCACUGCAACGACAAGGCGCGGGACGCGCUGGAGGCCGGGGGCAGCGAAACGCGGGUGCGGGGGCAGCUGGACGCCUGCCUGGCCGCCUGCGGGGACGAUCACCUGCGCCUGGUCCCCGCCAUGGCCAAGAAGAUGAAGGACAGCCUGGCCGCCAUCCCGCAGUAGCCCCCGCACGCUCAUUAAAGGUUCAUGGACAAGAAGCUGUCAUUGAAACUAAAUGGCGGCCGACACGUCCAGGGGAUCUUGCGGGGCUUCGAUCCCUUCAUGAACCUCGUCAUCGAUGAGUGUGUGGAGAUGGCACCGGGGGGACAGCAGAACAACAUCGGCAUGGUGGUAAUACGGGGAAACAGCAUCAUUAUGUUGGAAGCUUUGGAACGAGUAUAAUGCCAGAGGAACGCGCGUCUUUACCAGCUGUGACGAGACCCAACCCGCCCUUUUUCUUUACUUAUUGAAUCUGCCCAAAGCAUCCCUGAGUGUAAACCCUUUUUUUGUUUGUUUGUUUUUUUGUUAAAUAAAUUUUGUAAUGAUUGGCAUAA
Molecule: RNA transcript, 860 nt
Organism: Columba livia (rock pigeon)
Lineage: Eukaryota; Metazoa; Chordata; Aves; Columbiformes; Columbidae
Gene: TIMCC
Gene name: family with sequence similarity 136 member A
Exons: 6
Source: RefSeq, a predicted model, not a curated record